RNAcentral lists this ribosomal RNA (344 nucleotides) under Ornithinibacillus hominis. RNAcentral's name for it is "Bacterial small subunit ribosomal RNA". It matches the Rfam family "Bacterial small subunit ribosomal RNA", at positions 1 to 321 of the family's 1533-position model. Lineage: Bacteria; Bacillati; Bacillota; Bacilli; Caryophanales; Bacillaceae. The record is from Rfam by way of RNAcentral.
UUUUUGGAGAGUUUGAUCUUGGCUCAGGACGAACGCUGGCGGCGUGCCUAAUACAUGCAAGUCGAGCGAGUGAAAUUAAUUGAUCCCUUCGGGGUGACGUUAAUGAAUCUAGCGGCGGACGGGUGAGUAACACGUGGGCAACCUGCCUGUAAGACUGGGAUAACUCGCGGAAACGCGAGCUAAUACCGGAUAACACUUCGAACCACAUGGUUUGAAGAUGAAAGACGGCGCAAGCUGUCACUUACAGAUGGGCCCGCGGCGCAUUAGCUAGUUGGUGAGGUAACGGCUCACCAAGGCGACGAUGCGUAGCCGACCUGAGAGGGUGAUCGGCCACACUGGGACUG